UCGACCGCGAUUCUCUGCGCAAAAAUAGUUAAUCGAAUAAAAGAUGAAGUUCGUACUUUUAAUUUUUGUCGCUUUGGUUUUUGUUGCUGAAACCUAUGGACAAAGAGAAAAUCGAAGAGUAUGUUCGGGUGGGCGUUGUCAAUUUGUGCCCGGAAGUGUUUACGGUAAAUAAUAGAAUUACGGACUUAUCAUCUCAAGAAAAAGUUUGACAAAAAAGGUUUCAGCGAGGGAACAAACUGAUGAUCGAGCAGUGCAUAAAUAAGUGGUCAAUUUUUUAAAAGAAAAUAAAAGUUUAAAAAAAUUGUUUUGGCAAUUUUUCGAUUAUAUCCUUCUUUGAAUAUGAUAUCAAUUUAAGCCUUCAUCGUUAGAUGGCGAGUACCCUUAUCUGUAAACAUGCAAGUAACAAAAUAAAUGAAAAUAAUUAUAUAA
Trichogramma pretiosum is the source of this 429-nucleotide long non-coding RNA. RefSeq lists it as uncharacterized. The transcript has 2 exons. Lineage: Eukaryota; Metazoa; Arthropoda; Insecta; Hymenoptera; Trichogrammatidae. The record is from RefSeq and is a predicted model, not a curated record.